AUGAAAACCUCAGGGUAAAGAUGAGUCAUGUGAAGAACUGCAAGAGUUGCUCCUGAAGCAGAUCAGGGUGGAUUAAAUACUCGCAGCAAAUGAAGCUAGGAGGGAAAUUUCUUGAAGGAUUUGAGUUUCACGAGGAGGCGCCACUGAGCCGGGCUCUCCCUGGAUAUUUCCAAGCUGGAGAAACUUGACAACGAGAAGGAACGAAGGAAUUACUCUUCCUCUUUCAGGUGAAAAACUGAGGCAUCAGGAAUUAAACUGUGAGAGAUUU
This is a long non-coding RNA of Alligator mississippiensis (American alligator), 268 nucleotides long. RefSeq lists it as uncharacterized. The record is from RefSeq and is a predicted model, not a curated record. The transcript is spliced from 2 exons. NCBI's taxonomy places the organism in Eukaryota, Metazoa, Chordata, Crocodylia, Alligatoridae.